Molecule: long non-coding RNA, 2324 nt
Filed under: Homo sapiens (human)
Lineage: Eukaryota; Metazoa; Chordata; Mammalia; Primates; Hominidae
Description: PREDICTED lncRNA (TCONS_00136562)
Source: RNAcentral
ACAGAGAGAACAGGCAGUGGAGAAGGAGCUGUUUCUCCCCAACCACAUGCAUCUGCAAGAGUGAGGAGUGGAACAGGCAGAGCCAGAGAACAGCAGAGUUGAGGUUUUCCAAGGAGGUACAUGCAGCAGAAUAUGCAAGAGAUUCGAGUGUGUCCAGAGGAAUUUAUCCUAACAAUUGACCAUGGAAGGUGACCAGAUGGGUGUGAAGAUAGUGUCUUGCAAUGUCGCCCAGGCUGGAGUGCAGUGGUGCCCCUCCUGUUGUGAAUGGACAGAGUCCUGAGCAAGGAAACCUAGAAGGGAGAGAGGAAUACCAUGGAAUUGAGUCCUGUCUGGUAGCACUGACAGACACAGUGGCCAGCCACCCUCAUGCCACCCUGUCCUGCCAUGGGAAGGAACAGCAGCUCUAGAGUUCCUAUGGGAACUCUCUUUCCUUCUCACUGAACUCUAGCUUCAUCAAUAACUCAGUGCCUCUGGCCAAGUUUUUAGCCUCUGGGACAACAUCCACUAUAUCCAUAUGAGGCACUCAUGUAACACGGUGAUUAAGAGUACAGAUGCUGAAGCCAGCAGCCUAAGUCUGAAUCCUGACUGCCAAUUAUUAAUAUAAGUUGUGGAACCAUGGUCAAGUUACUCAACCUCUUUAUGCCUCUGUCUCCUGGUCUACGAAAUGAAGCUUUGAAUCUGCUGUUAUUAAGUUGCUGGUGCUGAAAUAACACUUAUUAUUUAUGAUCUAACUGAAAUGGGAACACUGGAAACUUCUUUGAAACUGAAGAAAAAAAUGAAAAAGAAGUUUUUACAAUCAAAACUGCCAUGAAGACUGCUUUACCCAAAAUUUUGGUCCACAGCUUUCAUUGAAUUACUUAUCAGGGCAAACAAAGUUUAGCCAUGUGAACACGUUCCAAUUUUGUUGGAAAUAAUUUGGAUCCAGCUAUCUUUAUACAAUGGUGAGUUCGUAUUGCAUCUCAUGGCUAAAAUACUGAGGUAAAGGCUUUUGGAUCUUUGUGUGUGUGUGUGUGCAUGUGACAAAAACAAGCAAUGGGGAAAGGAGUCCCUAUUUAAUAAAUGGUGUUGGGAGAACUGGCUAGCCAUAUGCAGAAAGUUGAAACUGGAGCCCCUCCUUAUACCAUAUACAAAAAUCAACUCAAGAUGAAUUAAAGACUUAAAUGUAAAAACCCAAACUAUAAAAACCCUAGAAGAAAAUCUAGGCAAUACCAUUCAGGACAUGGGCACAGGCAAAUAUUUCAUGACAAAGAUGCCAAAAGCAGUAGCAACAAAAGCAAAAAUUGACAAAUGGAAUCUAAUUAAACUAAAGAGCUUCUGUACAGCAAAGAAAUUAUCAUCAGAGUGAACAGACAGCUUACAGCAUGGGAGAAAAUUUUUGCAGUAUAUCCAUCUGACAAAGGUCUAAUAUUCAGCAUCUACAAGGAACUUAAACAAAUUUACAAGAAAAAAAAACAACGCCAUUAAAAAAUGGGCAAAGGACGUGGACAGACACUUCUCAAAAGAAGAAAUUUAUGUGGGCAAUGAACAUUUUUUUUAAAAAAGCUCAACACCACUGAUCAUUAGAGAAAUGCACAUGAAAACCACAAUGAGAUACCAUCUCACACCAGUCAGAAUGGCUAUUACUUAAAGGUCAAAAAACAACAGAUGAUAGCAAGGUUGUGAAGAAAAAUGAACACUUUUAUACGUUGGUUGGAGUAUAAAUUAGUUCUACCCUUGUCGAAGACAGUGUGGUGAUUCCUCAAAGACCUAGGGGAAGAAAUAUCAUUUGACCCAGCAAUCUCAUUACUGGGUAUAUACCCAGAGGAAUAUAAAUCAUUCUAUUAUAAAGAUACAUGUGCAUGUUCAUUGCAAAAUAGCAAAAACAUGGAAUCAACCUAAAUGCUCAUCAAUGACAGACUUGAUAAAGGAAAUAUGGUACGUAUACACCAAGGAAUACCAUGCAGCCAUAAAAAGGAACAAGAUAAUGUCUUUUGCAGGGACCUGGAUGGAACCAGAAGCCAUUAUCCUCAGCAAAUUAAUGCAGGAACAGAAAAGCAAAUACCACAUGUUCUCACUUGUAAGUGGUAGCUGAAUGAUGAGAACACAUGGACACAUGGUGGGGAACAAUACACACUGGGGCCUGUUGCAGGGUGCGGAGUGGGAGGGAGAGCAUCGGGAAGAAUAGCUAAUGCAUGCUGGGCUUAAUACCUAGGGGAUGGAAUGAUCUGUGCUGCAAACCACUAUGGCACACAUUUACCUAUGUAACAAACCUACACAUCCUGCACAUGUACCCCUGACCUUAAAAUAAAAGUUGGAAAUAAAAAAAACCCUAAACAUAUACCUAC